CACGUAGGGGGCGAGCGUUGUCCGGAAUUAUUGGGCGUAAAGAGCUCGUAGGCGGUGUGUCGCGUCGGCCGUGAAAACCUGCAGCUUAACUGUGGGCGUGCGGUCGAUACGGGCAUCACUGGAGUUCGGCAGGGGAGACUGGAAUUCCUGGUGUAGCGGUGAAAUGCGCAGAUAUCAGGAGGAACACCGGUGGCGAAGGCGGGUCUCUGGGCCGAUACUGACGCUGAGGAGCGAAAGCGUGGGGAGCGAACAGG
Molecule: ribosomal RNA, 254 nt
Filed under: uncultured bacterium
Lineage: Bacteria
Description: partial 16S ribosomal RNA
Rfam family: Bacterial small subunit ribosomal RNA
Source: RNAcentral